GGGUUGUGAGGUUAAGCGACUAAGCGUACACGGUGGAUGCCCUGGCAGUCAGAGGCGAUGAAGGACGUGCUAAUCUGCGAUAAGCGUCGGUGAGGUGAUAUGAACCGUUAUAACCGGCGAUUUCCGAAUGGGGAAACCCAGUGUGUUUCGACACACUAUCAUUAACUGAAUCCAUAGGUUAAUGAGGCGAACCGGGGGAACUGAAACAUCUAAGUACCCCGAGGAAAAGAAAUCAACCGAGAUUCCCCCAGUAGCGGCGAGCGAACGGGGAGGAGCCCAGAGCCUGAAUCAGUGUGUGUGUUAGUGGAAGCGUCUGGAAAGGCGCGCGAUACAGGGUGACAGCCCCGUACACAAAAAUGCACAUAUUGUGAGCUCGAUGAGUAGGGCGGGACACGUGGUAUCCUGUCUGAAUAUGGGGGGACCAUCCUCCAAGGCUAAAUACUCCUGACUGACCGAUAGUGAACCAGUACCGUGAGGGAAAGGCGAAAAGAACCCCGGCGAGGGGAGGAAAAAAAGAACCUGAAACCGUGUACGUACAAGCGGUGGGAGCCUCUUUAUGGGGUGACUGCGUACCUUUGUAUAAUGGGUCAGCGACUUAUAUUCUGUAGCAAGGUUAACCGAAUAGGGGAGCCGAAGGGAAACCGAGUCUUAACUGGGCGUUAAGUUGCAGGGUAUAGACCCGAAACCCGGUGAUUCAGCCAUGGGCAGGUUGAAGGUUGGGUAACACUAACUGGAGGACCGAACCGACUAAUGUUGAAAAAAUUAGCGGAUGACUUGUGGCUGGGGUGAAAGGCCAAUCAAACCGGGAGAUAGCUGGUUCUCCCCGAAAGCUAUUUAGGUAGCGCCUCGUGAAUUCAUCUCCGGGGUAGAGCACUGUUUCGGCAAGGGGUCAUCCCGACUUACCAACCCGAUGCAAACUGCGAAUACCGGAGAAUGUUAUCACGGGAGACACACGGCGGGUGCUAACGUCCGUCGUGAAGAGGGAAACAACCCAGACCGCCAGCUAAGGUCCCAAAGUCAUGGUUAAGUGGGAAACGAUGUGGGAAGGCCCAGACAGCCAGGAUGUUGGCUUAGAAGCAGCCAUCAUUUAAAGAAAGCGUAAUAGCUCACUGGUCGAGUCGGCCUGCGCGGAAGAUGUAACGGGGCUAAACCAUGCACCGAAGCUGCGGCAGCGACACUAUGUGUUGUUGGGUAGGGGAGCGUUCUGUAAGCCCGUGAAGGUGGCCUGUGAGGGUUGCUGGAGGUAUCAGAAGUGCGAAUGCUGACAUAAGUAACGAUAAAGCGGGUGAAAAGCCCGCUCGCCGGAAGACCAAGGGUUCCUGUCCAACGUUAAUCGGGGCAGGGUGAGUCGACCCCUAAGGCGAGGCCGAAAGGCGUAGUCGAUGGGAAACAGGUUAAUAUUCCUGUACUUGGGUGUUACCGCGAAGGGGACGGAGAAGGCUAUGUUGGCCGGGCGACGGUUGUCCCGGUUUAAGCGUGUAGGCUGGUUUUCCGUGCAAAUCCGGAAAACCAAGGCUGAGGCGUGAUGACGAGGCACUACGGUGCUGAAGCGACAAAUGCCCUGCUUCCAGGAAAAGCCUCUAAGCAUCAGGUAACAUCAAAUCGUACCCCAAACCGACACAGGUGGUCAGGUAGAGAAUACCAAGGCGCUUGAGAGAACUCGGGUGAAGGAACUAGGCAAAAUGGUGCCGUAACUUCGGGAGAAGGCACGCUGAUAUGUAGGUGAAGCGACUUGCUCGUGGAGCUGAAAUCAGUCGAAGAUACCAGCUGGCUGCAACUGUUUAUUAAAAACACAGCACUGUGCAAACACGAAAGUGGACGUAUACGGUGUGACGCCUGCCCGGUGCCGGAAGGUUAAUUGAUGGGGUUAGCGGUAACGCGAAGCUCUUGAUCGAAGCCCCGGUAAACGGCGGCCGUAACUAUAACGGUCCUAAGGUAGCGAAAUUCCUUGUCGGGUAAGUUCCGACCUGCACGAAUGGCGUAAUGAUGGCGAGGCUGUCUCCACCCGAGACUCAGUGAAAUUGAACUCGCUGUGAAGAUGCAGUGUACCCGCGGCAAGACGGAAAGACCCCGUGAACCUUUACUAUAGCUUGACACUGAACAUUGAGCCUUGAUGUGUAGGAUAGGUGGGAGGCUUUGAAGUGUGGACGCCAGUCUGCAUGGAGCCGACCUUGAAAUACCACCCUUUAAUGUUUGAUGUUCUAACGUUGGCCCGUAAUCCGGGUUGCGGACAGUGUCUGGUGGGUAGUUUGACUGGGGCGGUCUCCUCCUAAAGAGUAACGGAGGAGCACGAAGGUUGGCUAAUCUGGUCGGACAUCAGGAGGUUAGUGCAAUGGCAUAAGCCAGCUUGACUGCGAGCGUGACGGCGCGAGCAGGUGCGAAAGCAGGUCAUAGUGAUCCGGUGGUUCUGAAUGGAAGGGCCAUCGCUCAACGGAUAAAAGGUACUCCGGGAUAACAGGCUGAUACCGCCCAAGAGUUCAUAUCGACGGCGGUGUUUGGCACCUCGAUGUCGGCUCAUCACAUCCUGGGGCUGAAGUAGGUCCCAAGGGUAUGGCUGUUCGCCAUUUAAAGUGGUACGCGAGCUGGGUUUAGAACGUCGUGAGACAGUUCGGUCCCUAUCUGCCGUGGGCGCUGGAGAACUGAGGGGGGCUGCUCCUAGUACGAGAGGACCGGAGUGGACGCAUCACUGGUGUUCGGGUUGUCAUGCCAAUGGCACUGCCCGGUAGCUAAAUGCGGAAGAGAUAAGUGCUGAAAGCAUCUAAGCACGAAACUUGCCCCGAGAUGAGUUCUCCUGAGACUUAGAGUCUCCUGAAGGAACGUUGAAGACGACGACGUUGAUAGGCCGGGUGUGUAAGCGCAGCGAUGCGUUGAGCUAACCGGUACUAAUGAACCGUGAGGCUUAACCUUACAACGCCGAAG
This 2919-nucleotide ribosomal RNA is filed under the name Escherichia coli. RNAcentral's name for it is "23S ribosomal RNA". It matches the Rfam family "Bacterial large subunit ribosomal RNA". The record is from RNAcentral. Lineage: Bacteria; Pseudomonadati; Pseudomonadota; Gammaproteobacteria; Enterobacterales; Enterobacteriaceae.